GAACGUUUCAGCUUGCUGAAACUAGUAAAGUGGCGCACGGGUGAGUAACGCGUGGGCAAUCUACCUCCGAAUUGGGGAUAACAUUGCGAAAGCGAUGCUAAUACCGAAUGAUAUCUCAAUCACUCCGGUCUUUGAGAUCAAAGGUGGCCUCUCCAUGGAAGCUACUGUUUGGAGAUGAGCCCGCGUACCAUUAGCUUGUUGGUAGGGUAAUGGCCUACCAAGGCGACGAUGGUUAGCUGGUCUGAGAGGAUGAUCAGCCACACUGGAACUGACACACGGUCCAGACUCCUACGGGAGGCAGCAGUGAGGAAUUUUGCGCAAUGGGGGAAACCCUGACGCAGCAACGCCGCGUGAGUGAUGAAGGCUUUCGGGUCGUAAAGCUCUGUCAAGUGAGAAGAACCUGCCCUUUGCUAAUAUCACUGGGCACUGACGGUAUCACUGAAGGAAGCACCGGCUAACUCCGUG
Molecule: ribosomal RNA, 465 nt
Filed under: uncultured bacterium
Lineage: Bacteria
Description: bacterial SSU rRNA
Rfam family: Bacterial small subunit ribosomal RNA
Source: RNAcentral